GAUGAACGCUGGCGGCGUGCCUAAUACAUGCAAGUCGAGCGAACGGACGAGAAGCUUGCUUCUCUGAUGUUAGCGGCGGACGGGUGAGUAACACGUGGAUAACCUACCUAUAAGACUGGGAUAACUUCGGGAAACCGUAGCUAAUACCGGCUAAUAUUUUGAACCGCAUGGUUCAAAAGUGAAAGACGGUCUUGCUGUCACUUAUAGAUGGAUCCGCGCUGCAUUAGCUAGUUGGUAAGGUAACGGCUUACCAAGGCAACGAUGCAUAGCCGACCUGAGCGGGGGAUCGGCCACACUGGAACUGAGACACGGUCCAGACUCCUACGGGAGGCAGCAGUAGGGAAUCUUACGCAAUGGGCGAAAGCCUGACGGAGCAAAGCCGCGUGAGUGAUGAAGGUAUUCGGAUCGUAAAACUCUGUUAUUAGGGAAGAACAUAUGUGUAAGUAACUGUGCACAUCUUGACGGUACCUAAUCAGAAAGACACGGCUAACUAAGUG
RNAcentral lists this ribosomal RNA (497 nucleotides) under uncultured bacterium. RNAcentral's name for it is "partial 16S ribosomal RNA". It matches the Rfam family "Bacterial small subunit ribosomal RNA", at positions 28 to 507 of the family's 1533-position model. The record is from RNAcentral.